AAAUUGACAUUUGACGUGAAAAGAUCAAAUGUCAAAUGAAGCGUCAAUUCAUCAAAUUUAAAAAUUUGUUUAUAUAAAACGGUUUAAUUAUAAUUGUAUAUAUUUUAUUAAAAUGAGUCAAAUAUAUAAGAUACUGAAAAAAGUACAAAUGAGUAAGGCUGCACAUCAAAAACAAUUAAAAAUUCUCAGAAUGUACUAUGAUAAGAUUCCACUGGAAGACUUCUUUGAGGAAAUUAGAAUUGUUUUGAGGCAUGUCUUUAGUAUCAAUACGAUAUACCAAAAAAAUUGUUAUGCAGAAAGAAUUCUUGAGUUCUUGGCACAAUUUGUAGCAGAUGUGACGCCUGAAGGAACAGAAGAUGAUAUCUCUGAUGAAUGUACUCACCCCUUUCUAACGCUAAUUAUUACAGACACACUUAAGUACCACAAUUUAGUACAUGAGUACCACCGUUACAAUUCAUGUCUAUUUGUUAGACUUAUAUUACAAUGUAUAGGAUCUGAUAAAAACCUAGACAAUGAAGUGUGUGAUUUAAUUGAAGAAGCUAUGCUAGAAAGGACAAUGGAUCCCAAACCAACAGUACGUCUUCAAGCAGUGUUAGCUUUAAUAAGAUUACAAGAUCCAAUGAAUGCAGAGUCUCCAGUGAACAAAGCUUAUUUAUCUUUGAUAGUUGAUGCUAACAUUCAGAUUCGAGUUGAGGUUGUAAAAAAUAUUGCCAUUUAUAAUAUAUCUGUUCUUCAAAUAGUAAAUCGGUUAAGAGACAUAGACAGCAACGUACGCAUAACGGCUUUCCGAAGAUGUGCAGAUUUAGGACCGAGAUUAUUCAAGAUAUUUGAAAGGCAACAUAUACUUAUGUGUGGUUUAUCUGAAAGCGUUCCAAAAGUUAGAAACGUUUUUAUUGAAAAUUUGUUAUCAAAGUGGUUGAACACAUACGAAAAUAAUUAUAUAACAUUUUUGAAUGCAUUAAAAUUAGAUGCAGAUGAAAAUGACAUCGUAAAUACAGAGAAGAUAACUAAGGACGUUUUAAAUCUUUUGUUUAAAUCAACACCACUUAAUCAAUUUACCUCCAUUUUACCUCUUGAUAAAAACAAACUGAUACCAUUCAAUAAGCUGACAAGUGAGGCUGUAGCUGUUUGGAAUAAUUUGACACUGUAUUUGAGAGAUAAUGAUAAUAUGGAAGAUUAUCUAGAAGAUCUUCUUCCAGAUCUCACACCUUUCUGUCAUUAUAUUGAAAGUCUCAUAAUAGAAAAAAGAAAAAAUAAAAUGGAAGAUUGGGAGUUGUUAGAUUAUCAAUACAUUUUAAAUAAUUUACUGGGUAUUGCAGAAAACUACGAUUUAUCUGAUGAAGUUGGUAGAAAAACUUUGCAUCAGCUAACAAUAAAAUUAUUACGAGAGGAGAAUUUGUUGUUCAAAUUGAAAGAAAAAAUUGUAACUUUAGUUGAAAAAACUGCUCAAAAGACUGACGACUUCACUAGUAUCAUAUGUCACAUUAUUUCCGAAAUCCAAGAACCAUUAAUUGAGAAACAAGUAGAAAUUGACCCUAAUGAAGACACAAAUAGAGAAUGUAAAAAAGCCGCAUUGAAAGUCAAAAUAAUUGUAUUGGAGUCGCAACUGGAAGAAGCAACAGAUAAGCAAGAAUAUUUGAAAGCAGAAUCUUUAAAAAAUGAGAUGAAUGAUGUUAAAAAGAAAUUACAAGAUUUAUCUAUAAUCAAACCAGCUACUGAAAUGAUCAAAGUUACAAAAGAUGAUCCUAAAACAAUUUGUGAAUGCUUGGAUUUACUUAUUUGUAUGUUGUUACUUCCUUCUGUCAAUUCCAUGACCCCAUCAUUGGUUGCUGUAAAAGACGAAUUCAUAAUACCUUUACUGGAUAGUAAUAUCAGUGAAAUUAACUGGAGGGUAAUUAAAUGUAUAACAUUGUUUUGUCUAAUAGACGAGAAUUUAGUAGGAGAGUAUCUCAAGGUGAUCUGCAUACCAAUUAUUACAUACAGAGCUAUACCAAACUACAACAAGCAAGCAUUAAUUGCUGCAGUAAUGGCUAUCCCAGAUAUGUUCAGAUUAUAUGGUGUAAACGUAUUUAGUAGUAUCGAGAGUGCUAUAAGUGUCAAUUCGAACCAAACUGUAAAUUCAUCAUCCAAUAAGAGAAGAUUAUAUUGUAUUGAAGAAUCUGACGAAAGUGUUAUCUUUGCUAAUAAAUUUCAUUUGGAAUCCAUUAUAGAUGUUAUGUUUGAUAUGUUGGACGAUGAGAUUUGUGAAAUUCGAAAUAUUGCUGUAGAAGCUAUUUCAAAGUUAAUCUUAAACCAGUUUCCAGUAUCGUCAUUAUUAAUUUCGAGACUAAUAUUGAAAUGGUAUAAUCCAUUAACUGCUCAAGCUUCCGACAAAUCACAACAACUCAUAGGAGUCGUAAUUACUAACUACGCUAAAUCUACUGAAAGUGCCAAAGAUGUUAUAGCAAAAGCUGUUAUCCCAACGUUACAAAGUAUCUCUAAUGCUCCUAGGACUAGUCCUCUUGCAGUUGUUGAUGCUGAUAAUUUGUUACUAUUUAUUUCAACCAUCACAGACUGUGAUGAAAAGAUAGAUGUAUCAAGGACUCAUAUAAAUAUGGCACAUAUGUUUACCUCAGAAAUAUUAAAGAAAAAAAAUGAGGUGAUCGCCAUACAUCUUUCAAAACUAUUAUUGUAUUUGAAUAUUUCCUCAGAAAGUGUUUCGGCUUUGAAGGAAUUAAUAGCUAAAGUGGAAACUGCAUUGCAUGAUGAAAAUCUAUCAGAGAAAACAUUGAGAAAAAAUUUGAUAAAAUUCCAACAAAAACUAAAUACACUCUUAGAAAACCAAAUUCAAGCACAAAUCACCAAUUUGGAAAUAACCGAAAACUCAACUAUGGUUUCAAAUAUAGAAGAAAAUCAAGAUGAUCCUAACAAAGUAAACAAAAAUAAAGUUAAAAAAAAUCAGACAACUACAUUUAUGCCCUUGAUUAGAGAGGAGGAUGAAGAAGAUAUAUUUGAAUCAAGUCAACAUUCAAACAUAUCUGAUACAAAUGAAAAUAAUGUCAACAGUUCCAAAAGUGAGGAGAUAUCUAAUGGAACUUUUAUCAAUGAGAAUACUAAAAAAAGAAAUCGGAAGCAGAGAAAUAUGAAUGAAAAUAAUACUGAAAACUCAGCUAAUAACACUGAUAGUGACGAAGAAUGGCAUAAUAAGAAAAAGUUUAAAAUGCCAGUGGUACUUUUAACCCAAACCAAAUUUCCUGUGAAUCAGAUUAUGGCAAAAAAUAGUGACAAUGAUAAAGAAAUUGAAAAUGUCUCUGACAUUUUAUCCAUAAGUAAAGAUUCUGACAAAAAUAACACUACUAGUGAAGAUAACAUUAUAAGUGCAACCCCAGAAGAUGAAAAAGUUUCGAAGUUAGAAAAAAGGAAGAAACCUUCAUCUAAAAUUAAUAUCUUAGAAGUAGUAACAAUCAAACCCCAAAUGAAGAAUGCUAUAAAUAGUAGAGGUGAAACAAGUUCAGAUUCUGAAAAUUUCAACAAGAAUACCAGUUGCAGCCCAAGGUUACGAUUAAGAUCGAAGAUCAUAAAUAAAGAGAGGAAUUCCAGGGAGAAAACUUCUUGUGUCAAGCGAUUAUCAAAAAAUAAAUAUGGUUUAGUAGCUGGAGAUGAGGAUAAGGACAGAGGAUGUACAACAGAAAGAAAUUUUGAAGAUAACGACAACCAAAUAAAUAGAGUACUAAGGUCAUUAAAAAGCAACCAAAUAAUCCAUGUACAAAAAUGGGAUGAAAAGAGUAGUUCAAUUCUAAGUAAACCCACAAAACAAAGUACAAAAACCAUUUUAGCUAGUGAGGAAACAAGCACUGAUAGCUUUGAAAAUAUAAGACACCGUAAAAAAGUAACAAAUCGCGAUGUGGUGAGUCCAAUCUUAAAAAAAAAUAAUAAAAAGUAUACAUCACAAGGACAUUGUGAUUCUGAAAUUACUAGUAGUGGAAAAAGCACUAACGAUUCAAAGCAAUCUACAAAUUCUAGUCAGAAUUACAACACCAGAAAUAACACCCAAGUGGCAAAUAAUCAGAAUAAAACAUUAACAAAUAAAAGAAAUAUUCGAAAACGAAAACAGUUAACAGUUUUAGUCGGUCAUUCUAUGCGCAAACGAAUGAGGUUAAGAAAUGAAACAAAUAAGUAUAACAGUGAAGCAAAUGAAAGUAAGGAAAUCAGAAGCUCUCCCAGAGUAUCCAGAAGUGAGAAAAAUGGGCAUAGUCUGAUACCCAAUAAAAAAACACUGGGAACUAGAAAAUCUUCAAAAGAGAGUUUAAAUCAACAUGAAACUAGUAGGAGCAGCAGCAGUAGUACUACACUACAUACAAUUCUUCCUGAUAUUUCACAGAUUCAGAUAUUCAAUGAUUCAACUUGUUCAUCCAAAAGUAAUGAUAAUCUCGACGUCGUACGAGGUUGCAAAGUUUAAAUACACGUUCUCCGAUUACAAAAAGCAGGCUUCGAAGAAAAAAUAAUUUAUUUGGAGAAUGGAAUGUGAUCCCUUAAGAAAAUCAAAGGAAACGAAAUUUGGAAAAUUUUAUUUAUAUAUUUCUUAUUUGUGUAAUAUAUGUAUAAUAUAACUAAUAAAUGAAUAUAUAUAUAUAUAUAUAUAUAUAUAUAUAUAUAUAUAUAUGUAUGUAUAUAUAUAUUUAUUAUCAUAUAUCAUAAUAUGCAUAGGGCAAAGGAUCACUGUGUAGUUUAUUUUUGAAUAAGGAUGAAAUAUAGCUAUUUGUCAUAUAUUUAGACAGUAUAUAUAUAUAUAUAUAUAUAUAUAUAUAUAUAUAUAUAUAUAUAUAUAUAUAUAUAUUAAAUAAAAUUUUGUAUACGAGGUGCGUUUAAUAUACUCAUACUUUAUUUCUUCUUCUAAUUGAUUUUAUUUUUUAUAAUUUGAAAAAGUAUUUGUUUCUCGAAAGGAAAGCAACCAUUUUCCUAUUUACCGCAAGGGAAAAUUAAUUAAAUCUCAUUCAAAGAUCAUGACGCCAAGCCACCAUUCUAGGGAUAUCAAAUCUUUAAUGGCGAGCAAUUGAACAGAAGGAAGCAAAAAGGUCAAUUAGCAUCAGAUCUUGGAAAUUAUGUAAUUUAAUGUUUCUAUUAAUUAUCAAAUCUUUAUAUUUUGUUAUGAGAAACUAUCAUCAAUGUUUUCGACUUGUUAAAAUUUAAAACAUCACAACCAAAAUAAAAAUUAUAGAUAAAUAUAUUAGACGCGCUUCGUUUAUUUAAAAAAUUUUAUUUAUAAAUACAAGAAUAUUAAUUAUGCUGUUUCUAUCAUCUAAGAUGUGGAGGUGAAAAAUAUAAUUAAAACAAUUUUUUUGGACAAAUACAUUAUAUUUACCAACACAAAGUCUUACAAUACAAAAAGAAAAAGAAAACAAAAAACAUACACUUUAAACUUAUAACAAUAAAAAACAUUUAGUUAUACCAUUUUUUUGCUUUUCUUUAUUUUCUGGUGAAAUAUUAGGCAGCGCACCUUCAUGACUAAAACACCAACUGAAAUUCGGUCAUGUUUCAAAAACAAAUAAAAAAAUAAAAAACAGAUAUUGUUUUGAAAUAUGACCAUACUCUCAGCUUAUUUAAAUAUAUCUAUAUAAUAUAAACACUAACUAAAAACUGAUCUAAUAUUCCACCUGAAAAAGGCCUUAAUUAUUUUUUUUGUUUUACUACACUAAACCUAACUAAUUUUUCUUAAUUUUAAACUUACCUAAAUGUUAAACCUAUAAAUCUAAGUCUAUAAGCUAACUUAUCUAAAUGCUUUCUAGCAUACUUUAUACAAAUGGGAAGUUAGUUCCCACAGACUCCAUAUUUUAAUUGGAUAUAAAUAAUCAAUUGCAUUUGAAUAUUCUCAUUUUAUUAUUCAUAUUUAUUCAAUUACAAAUAAAUGACAUUGAUACUUAUAGGCUGAAUUAUUCAAAUCAUUUAUUAAUGUAUUCUGAAUUGAACAUUCAGAUUAUUAAUUAGUAAUUUCAAAUUUGUUACUAAUUAAAAUCACGACAAAUUAUAGUAAAAACAAAAUAAUAUAAACUGAGCCAAAGUAUCAAGUAAUACUUUUUAAAUCUAUAAAAACGAUGACUCGUCUCAAUUUGUUACAAAUAUUCAAUAGGAUUCAAAAAUGCAAACGUUAUUUUCUACCAAUCACUUUUUUCAGUAGUUCUUACCCUUGAGAACCAACUUUAUGACUUUAAUAAAUAGGUAGUCGCUGAUCGAUUUUUCGAUUAUUAUGGUCUAAAAAUAACCUCACUAUCAUCGAAAUACGUUAUCAUAUCGUGUAUAUGAAAAUAAAACUGAUUUUUUUAUCAGUUAUGCUGUAUAAAACCUUCACAAAUAAUGUCAAUACUUCAAUGCAAUAUUUGGCUUCAGCUGUUGCACUCAACUUUGUUUUAUAUAAUAGAUAAAACAUUGAUUUUAAAUUACUAUAAAAUCAGAUGCUCGUGCUUUUCGUGUAAAGAUGGUUGAUUAGCAAGUUUUGAAAUAAAAUUCAAAACCCCAAAUUCUAUAGUAAUGAAUGCCUCGAAAAUGACCUUCAUGUAAUUGAAAACAAUAUGAUUAUGCGAGAAUAUGUUAUACUAAAAAAUUUUAUAAAAUAGAAUAGUAUUAAACAUACCAUCCUCAAGUGAAUUAAAAUCUUUGAAGUAAUUGUAUUGUCUUUACGGUGGGACCGAGGACUAUAACUUCAGAUCACAAUGUCCUAUCUAUCUCUGAAUUCCCCUUUUUUCUAAAUUGACAAAGUGAAACAACAGAAAAUUUGUUCAAUAAGUUAAAAACUGUUUCAAAUAAAGAAAGACUUAUCAUUAAAUUGUAUAUUAUAUUCUAUAGGACAAUUAACCUCUAUCAACAUUAUAUUCUGUUUAGAAUAUUACCAGUGUUGUCAAUUUCUAGAUAUUUUAUACAAAACAAAGCUGAGUUUACUUUAUUUUUGCUCUUUGUAAACAAGAGCGCAUAGUCUCUAGAACUUGUUCACUAUAAACAUACAAAACUUGGAUGGAGGGUGCAAAGACACUCUGCAAUAGCAGUUGUUAUAAUGUGUCUUUUUUAUUCUACCCUGACCUCCAUUUCAAAAAAGGAAACCAAAAAAGAACAUUCACAAAUCGUCUACAACACAUAAACAACUAUAAGGUAAAAUUUAGUUAUCGGUUUUUUCAAGAAUACACCGAGUUAAAAAAAUAUAUAAAAUAUUUUUCAGUAUAUCCCCUGUGGACUAUCUGAAAAGGCACAAUAUCUUUCAAGUGAAGUUCUAUGCAUCAAUUGCCCGACGAACAGUUUUACUUACUGAUUUAAAUUACAGACUUAUUUUUGGGAGUAAGGAUAUUUUUUUGUUGAUUUGCUUAUAGAUUAUUAGGUUAAAAAGUAGCAAUCAAAUUACAAAGCAUGAUCAGAUAUAAUAAUUGAGAAAAAACAGAAAGGUUAGUGAUAAAUUCUGCUCCCAUAUUUUUAACCAUUAGUUAUUGACAUUAGGAAAGAAACAAAACCAGAAUCAAUUAUAGGAAAAAUAAACAUCUGAAUUGGUAUAAGCAUACUGGAAGAAUCAAGAUAUAUAGAUUGACAAGAACAAUAAUGGAAGCAGAAAAAAACAUUACACAAAUUAAGAAAUUUUCUAACUAAAAUGUAAAAAAUAUUGAAACUCUAGUUUUUCACUGAACAUAUUUAAAAUAAUACCUCAUUUCAUAUGCCUUCACUGUCCUUCUGGGACACCUUGUGAAAUAAUAUAAAUCCAAUCAUUUUAGUGAUAUAACCUAAACCAGUAAGUAUGUCAGAUACCGACCAACAUUUUUAUCAAAGGCUAUGUCUCAUCAUUAUGAAAUAAUCAAAAUAUAUGUUUCCAGUAAAUAAACCGGAUUUAUUUUCUCGCCCUUACGUUCAACUAUACACAGAACUGAAAAAAAAAAUAGAAAAAUCACAGCUUCGCGUCUCCAAGUUCAUCUACUGGAUAUGUUUUAAAUAAAUAAUACAGUCAGUCCAUUUUAAAAGAAUCCCAAUUUAAUAUAUAUUAUUUUUCAAUCAUAAAUAAAUCUAAUAAAAUAAAACAAAAAAAAAUUGCACUAUACAUACUUUAUCUAUAACGUAACUGUACAAAAGUAGGGACACGUUUUAAAACGAAAAAAAGAAAACUUUCUGAAUAAAUAGUGAAUAUUAUCAACAAAUCUAAGACAUUGGAAUGUCACAACAAACAAUUCAGGUUCUUUUAUAAAAACUGAUAUUGACAUAUCUCAUAAAACAAUUGGAUAUCAACCAAAAAUAUCAGAUUCAAUUUUUUUACAUCAAAUGAAUUUCAUACACUUAAUUGAGAUCAUGUCAAUUUCUAUUGAAAAUUGAUAUGGUUCCACCAUUAUCGUACGAAAUUAAAAUAAAUAAAUUUUUAUAAAAGAUAAAAUAUUGUGCAUUAUUUUGUUAUAGUUAAAAUACUGAUGUUAUUAUUAAAAUACUGAAAAUUCUACAAAAUGUUUCACUUUGCAUUUUUUUGCGUGUCAACAAUGUAUUAACAGUUAUAUGGCAGUCUUUGUUUCAACACAAAAACUGCAAAGAUAAUAUUAUAGAAUUACAAAAAAUGAUAUCGCUCAUUGAUUAUCAAUUGUUAUAUUAAUAAAUAAGAAGUAAUAAAAUAUAAUGGAUAAAUUUCAGAUUGUUUGAGAAUAUCGUGAAUGAUUAAUAACCCAUGUAUUUGGCAUAUCGGAGUUUCCUUAAUAUGGAUAUUCAUCACACUAAUUUGGCGUUAAUUCUUUUUUACAAAUAUACUGCUCUAAGUUGUACCAGAAUAUUGGAGAGAGUUUUAUUAUACUUAUUCAACAAAUUAAUCUGUCGUUAAUCCUUUUCCACAAAUAUGCUACUCUUACAUCAAAAAAAUGUAUUACAUUAUUAAUUCCUAUUGCUACAAUAACUUGUAGUUUUGUGCUCUAAAAUCGAUCAUCUAGAAGCCUAUUGAUCAUCCAGGCGAUAAUAUUGAUGUGAGAAUUUUAUCUCAUUAAUAUUGUUAAUCCAUUGGCUUAAGACAGUCAUACACAGUGUGCUUCGCGGAACCCGGGUUCCUGGAAGCCUCAGUGGGAGCUCAGAGAGACUUCAAAAAAAAAAUGAAAA
RNA transcript from Diorhabda carinulata, 9075 nucleotides. It is a transcript of the gene named condensin complex subunit 3-like, with no coding region annotated. NCBI's taxonomy places the organism in Eukaryota, Metazoa, Arthropoda, Insecta, Coleoptera, Chrysomelidae. The transcript has 21 exons. The record is from RefSeq and is a predicted model, not a curated record.